UGCAUGUCUCAGUAUAAGCUUCUAUACGGCGAAACUGCGAAUGGCUCAUUAAAACAGUUAUAGUUUAUUUGGUGGUCAACUCUUACAUGGAUAACCGUGGUAAUUCUAGAGCUAAUACAUGCGCCCAAACCCAACUUCUUGGAAGGGUUGUGUUUAUUAGAUACAGAACCAACCCAGGCUCCGCCUGGCCUUGAGGUGAUUCACAAUAACCGAACGAAUCGCAUAGCUGCCGCUGGCGAUAGACCAUUCAAGUUUCUGACCUAUCAGCUAUCGUCGGUAGGGUAUUGGCCUACCGUGGCAAUGACGGGUAACGGAGAAUUAGGGUUCGAUUCCGGAGAGGGAGCCUGAGAAACGGCUACCACAUCUAAGGAAGGCAGCAGGCGCGCAAAUUACCCAAUCCUGACGCAGGGAGGUAGUGACAAGAAAUAACAAUACAGGGCAUAUCUGUCUUGUAAUUGGAAUGAGUAAACUUUAAAUCACUUUACGAGUAUCAAUUGGAG
Molecule: ribosomal RNA, 500 nt
Filed under: uncultured eukaryote
Lineage: Eukaryota
Description: SSU rRNA
Rfam family: Eukaryotic small subunit ribosomal RNA
Source: RNAcentral